AGUUGGUAAGGUAAAGGUUUCCCAAGGCAAUGAUGCAUACCCGACUUAAAAGGUUAUCGCCCCCAUGGGACUGAAACCCCGCCCAUACUUCUUCCGGGAGGCAGCAGUAGGGAAUCUUUCCACAAUGGGCGAAAGCCUGAUGGAGCAACCCCGCGUGAGUGAUGAAGGUUUUCGGCUCGUAAAACUCUGUUGUAAGAGAAGAAUGACAUUGAGAGUAACUGUUCAAUGUGUGACGGUAUCUUACCAGAAAGGAACGGCUAAAUACGUGCCAGCAGCCGCGGUAAUACGUAUGUUCCAAGCGUUAUCCGGAUUUAUUGGGCGUAAAGCGAGCGCAGACGGUUAUUUAAGUCUGAAGUGAAAGCCCUCAGCUCAACUGAGGAAUUGCUUUGGAAACUGGAUGACUUGAGUGCAGUAGAGGAGAGUGGAACUCCAUGUGUAGCGGUGAAAUGCGUAGAUAUAUGGAAGAACACCAGUGGCGAAGGCGGCUCUCUGGUCUGUAACUGACGUUGAGGCUCGAAAGUGUGGGUAGCAAACAGGAUUAGAUACCCUGGUAGUCCACACCGUAAACGAUGAGUGCUAGGUGUUUGAGGGUUUCCGCCCUUAAGUGCCGCAGCUAACGCAUUAAGCACUCCGCCUGGGGAGUACGACCGCAAGGUUGAAACUCAAAGGAAUUGACGGGGACCCGCACAAGCGGUGGAGCAUGUGGUUUAAUUCGAAGCAACGCGAAGAACCUUACCAGGUCUUGACAUCCCUUGACAACUCCAGAGAUGGAGCGUUCCCUUCGGGGACAAGGUGACAGGUGGUGCAUGGUUGUCGUCAGCUCGUGUCGUGAGAUGUUGGGUUAAGUCCCGCAACGAGCGCAACCCUUAUUACUAGUUGCCAGCAUUCAGUUGGGCACUCUAGUGAGACUGCCGGUGACAAACCGGAGGAAGGUGGGGAUGACGUCAAAUCAUCAUGCCCCUUAUGACCUGGGCUACACACGUGCUACAAUGGCGUAUACAACGAGUUGCCAACCCGCGAGGGUGAGCUAAUCUCUUAAAGUUCGUCUCAGUUCGGAUUGUAGGCUGCAACUCGCCUACAUGAAGUCGGAAUCGCUAGUAAUCGCGGAUCAGCACGCCGCGGUGAAUACGUUCCCGGGUCUUGUACACACCGCCCGUCACACCAUGAGAGUUUGUAACACCCAAAGCUCGGUGGGGUAACCUUCGGGAGCCAGCCGUCUAAGGUGACCC
RNAcentral lists this ribosomal RNA (1229 nucleotides) under Weissella confusa. RNAcentral describes it as "bacterial SSU rRNA". It matches the Rfam family "Bacterial small subunit ribosomal RNA", at positions 247 to 1468 of the family's 1533-position model. Lineage: Bacteria; Bacillati; Bacillota; Bacilli; Lactobacillales; Lactobacillaceae. The record is from RNAcentral.